Molecule: ribosomal RNA, 287 nt
Filed under: uncultured Arcanobacterium sp.
Lineage: Bacteria; Bacillati; Actinomycetota; Actinomycetes; Actinomycetales; Actinomycetaceae
Description: partial 16S ribosomal RNA
Rfam family: Bacterial small subunit ribosomal RNA
Source: RNAcentral
CCUCAAGCUUGCUUGGGGUACUCGAGUGGCGAACGGGUGAGUAAUACGUGGGUAACCUGCCCUCUUCUUUGGGAUAAGCCCCGGAAACGGGGUCUAAUACCGGAUAUUCUGCUUCUGCCGCAUGGUGGGGGUUGGAAAGGUUUUUCGGUGGGGGAUGGGCCCGCGGCCUAUCAGCUUGUUGGUGGGGUGAUGGCCUACCAAGGCUUCGACGGGUAGCCGGCCCUGAGAGGGUGACCGGCCACAUUGGGACUGAGAUACGGCCCGGACUCCUACGGGAGGCAGCAGUA